Molecule: ribosomal RNA, 443 nt
Filed under: Capnocytophaga granulosa
Lineage: Bacteria; Pseudomonadati; Bacteroidota; Flavobacteriia; Flavobacteriales; Flavobacteriaceae
Description: bacterial SSU rRNA
Rfam family: Bacterial small subunit ribosomal RNA
Source: RNAcentral
GAUGAACGCUAGCGGCAGGCCUAACACAUGCAAGUCGAGGGAGAAGCCCUUCGGGGCAGAAACCGGCGCACGGGUGCGUAACGCGUAUGCAACCUACCUUUCACAGGGGGAUAGCCCGAAGAAAUUUGGAUUAAUACCCCAUAAUAUUAUUGGGUGGCAUCAUUUGAUAAUUAAAAUUACGAUGGUGAAAGAUGGGCAUGCGUCCUAUUAGCUAGUUGGAGUGGUAACGGCACCCCAAGGCUACGAUAGGUAGGGGUCCUGAGAGGGAGAUCCCCCACACUGGUACUGAGACAGGGACCAGACUCCUACGGGAGGCAGCAGUGAGGAAUAUUGGUCAAUGGUCGGAAGACUGAACCAGCCAUGCCGCGUGCAGGAAGAAUGCCUUAUGGGUUGUAAACUGCUUUUAUAUGGGAAGAAUAAGGAGUACGUGUACUUUGAUGACG